RNAcentral lists this ribosomal RNA (377 nucleotides) under uncultured bacterium. RNAcentral's name for it is "bacterial SSU rRNA". It matches the Rfam family "Bacterial small subunit ribosomal RNA", at positions 28 to 404 of the family's 1533-position model. The record is from RNAcentral.
GACGAACGCUGGCGGCGUGCUUAACACAUGCAAGUCGAGCGGUAAGGCCCUUUCGGGGGUACGACGAGCGGCGAACGGGUGAGUAACACGUGGGCGACCUGCCCUUAGCUCUGGGAUAAGCCUGGGAAACUGGGUCUAAUACCGGAUAUGACUCCAUGACGCAUGUUGUGGGGUGGAAAGCCUUGUGCGGCUAGGGAGUGGGCCCGCGGCCUAUCAGCUUGUUGGGUGGGGUGAUGGCCACCAAGGCGACGACGGGUAGCCGGCCUGAGAGGGCGACCGGCCACACUGGGACUGAGACACGGCCCAGACUCCUACGGGAGGCAGCAGUGGGGAAUCUUGCGCAAUGGGCGAAAGCCUGACGCAGCGACGCCGCGUGA